This 864-nucleotide ribosomal RNA is filed under the name uncultured bacterium. RNAcentral describes it as "bacterial SSU rRNA". It matches the Rfam family "Bacterial small subunit ribosomal RNA", at positions 61 to 969 of the family's 1533-position model. The record is from RNAcentral.
GUCGAACGAACCCUUCGGGGUUAGUGGCGGACGGGUGAGUAACACGUUAGUACCUGCCCUCUAGUGGGGGAUAACUGCCCGAAAGGGUAGCUAAUACCGCAUGUGAUCACUUGUGAUCAAAGCAGAAAUGCGCUAGAGGAGGGGCUUGCGUCUGAUUAGCUUGUUGGCGGGGUAAUGGCCCACCAAGGCGAUGAUCAGUAGCUGGUUCGAGAGGAUGACCAGCCACACUGGGACUGAGAUACGGCCCAGACUCCUACGGGAGGCAGCAGUGAGGAAUCUUCCGCAAUGGACGAAAGUCUGACGGAGCAACGCCGCGUGCAGGAUGACGGCCUUCGGGUUGUAAACUGCUUUUAUUUGGGAAGAUUAUGACGGUACCAAAUGAAUAAGGACCGGCUAACUACGUGCCAGCAGCCGCGGUAAUACGUAGGGUCCAAGCGUUAUCCGGAAUUACUGGGCGUAAAGAGUGCGUAGGCGGGUGUCUAAGUGCAAUGCGAAAUCCUAUGGCUCAACCAUGUGGACUGUAUUGCAUACUGGAUACCUAGAGGAAUGCAGAGGCAAGUGGAAUUACCGGUGUAGCAGUGAAAUGCGUAGAUAUCGGUAGGAACACCAAUGGCGAAGGCAGCUUGCUGGGCAUUAUCUGACGCUAAGGCACGAAAGCGUGGGGAGCGAACAGGAUUAGAUACCCUGGUAGUCCACGCCGUAAACGAUGCACACUAUUAGUAUGGAGUAUCGACCCUCUGUGCUGAGAAGCUAACGCGUUAAGUGUGCCGCCUGGGGAGUACGAUCGCAAGAUUAAAACUCAAAGGAAUUGACGGGCUCGCACAAGCAGUGAUCAUGCGUUUAAUUCGAUGAUACGCGAAGAAC